Megalopta genalis is the source of this 896-nucleotide non-coding RNA. The record is from RefSeq and is a predicted model, not a curated record. NCBI's taxonomy places the organism in Eukaryota, Metazoa, Arthropoda, Insecta, Hymenoptera, Halictidae.
UCGGCGCACAGUGGAAAUACGUAUCAGCGGUCAAAAGUCAAGUUUUCGGCGUUUUAAAAAAAGUCAAAUCAUUUGUCCAAUUGAAACAGAAUGGUGGAAUCGUGGACGCCAAAAGACGACCUUUUUAAAAGCGAUUAUGUCCGAAACAUUAAUCGUCGAGUCGAACCAGCAAAAAUGAGCACACGGAAAAGGGGACAAACGAUUCACAACGAAGCUAGAAACAUAGUGAUAAGGAUUAUUAAAAAAUGCGACGAAGACUGCACUUCUCUAUCCGCUACAACGAGCCACUACACAUGCAACAGACUACGUUGGCGUUUCCGAACGGACAAUCGCCAGAAUACGAGAUGAAGGCGCUGUAUGGAGAGAAGAACUGUUAUCAUCGCCGGACAGAAAACAGCCGCGAUGCACGGACCAGACAUUUUAUUGUAUCGACGAGUGCAAAAAAGUCAUAAGAGACUUAAUCUAUGAAUUUUACGUGGAGAAAAAAAUUGUUCCAACUGGUCCAAAAUUGUUGACCACGUUACAGGAGAGAAUACACUUUCCAUGGACGAUGCACGCCCUUCGCUAGCUUUUGAAAAGCAUGGGAUACAAAUGCAAGAAGAGAAGCAACACAGUCUCAAGCAGAUCUUGAUUGAAACGCCGAAUAUCGUGAACAAGCGAAACAAAUAUCUGGAAGCUUUGAAUGAUUAUAAAACACAAGGAAAGAACAUUAUAUAUUUGGACGAAACAUGGGUGGACACUUCUUUGAGUUUUGGAAAAUGCUGGUCGCGAACGAGAAAGGCACGGCGGGCGUUUCUAAGAGUUCGUAUGCUUUCGAACGUUUGACAGAGUAGUCCUCGCAGGUGAAAGAAGCGGACUGGUGAAUGGAGCAGAUCUGAUAUUCGAAUACAGGUCGA